RNAcentral lists this long non-coding RNA (680 nucleotides) under Lotus japonicus. RNAcentral's name for it is "long non-coding RNA (LJAP_LNC000501)". Lineage: Eukaryota; Viridiplantae; Streptophyta; Magnoliopsida; Fabales; Fabaceae. The record is from RNAcentral.
GUAUUCCUCCUUAUUCCUUGCUCCUGAUUAUCAUGUGGGAAAAAACGUCCAAUACUAGCAGGAAUAUAUACCGUGAAAGAGGGUCGCCUUGGAGAAGUCCUCUUUGUGGCUUGAUCUUCUCUCCGCAAACUCCAUUGAUCUUGUAACGGUAAGUAACCCCCAUGACCAGCGCCAUGACUAUUUUAACCUAGUUCGAAUGAAAACCAUAUGCUAACAAUCCUUUUUCCAGGAACUUCCACUCUACUUGAUCGAAGGCUUUAUUCAUGUCAAGCUUGACACUCAAAUGAUCUCUGCCUAUUCUGCAUCUCUUCUUCAGUGCGUUAAAUGCCUCUUGCACUAUAAUAAGAUUGUCCUGAAUUUGUCUCCCCCUAUUAAAAGCAUUCUUCUGGGGGGUGAUGAUAGAAUUCAUUGCUGGUUUCAGUCUUGUUACCAAGAUCCUGGAGAUGAUUUUACAAACAAAGUUACAGCAGCUGAUGGGUCGAAAGUUGGAGAUAGAUUCUGGAUUUUGGGUUUUUGGAGCCAAGGUAACUAGUGCCUCAUUUAUAUCUUCUGGUAGAUUCCAUGUGUCAAAGAAAGAAAUUACUGCCUUACUCACUUCUUCUCCUACUGUGUCCCAUUGUUUUUGGUAGAAUAGACUGUUCAAUAUGUCCGGUCCAGGAGCUUUCAUGCUUCCCAGGCAG